RNAcentral lists this long non-coding RNA (772 nucleotides) under Aquilegia coerulea. RNAcentral's name for it is "long non-coding RNA (ACOE_LNC000548)". The record is from RNAcentral. Lineage: Eukaryota; Viridiplantae; Streptophyta; Magnoliopsida; Ranunculales; Ranunculaceae.
CACUUUAAAAAUAAUUUGCUACUUUCCUUCAAAAAGUAUGUUACAAUACAAGUGUGAAAUACAAAAGUGAACAAGGUUCAAUUAUAAAAAGUUCAAAUAAACGAUUUCAUAAAAAUAAACCAAACCAAAUAUACCAGCAUAGAUUUCCUAAUCCAUUCAUAGGUUUCACUGAACAUAACAAUAAACCGCUACGGCUAUACAAAGUUAUCAAAAUCGCCUGACUAAUAGUUGUACAUCCCCCUAAAACAAAACACUACCACCUAAAAGUCAAUCCUAGUUAAGAACGAUCGGAGCAUCUUGGGUACCCUCUACUAUUUCUUCAGGGUCAUAAUCACUGUCGUUUGAGCCAUCAUCUACUAUCUCAUUACCAUUAGCGUCAACCUCUACUACAUCAUCAUCAUCACCACUACUGUCACUUGAUUCAUCCUGGCUGUCAGAAGAAUCCGAAGAAUGGGCGCUGUCACUUGAUUCAUCCUGGCCGUCACUUGGUUCAGGGGGGGGGGGGUUGUUCAGGAGCUGGAAUGGGCGUUGGAAUAGGAGCUGGGACUGGUGGAGGUUGCCAUGCAUGCACUUGGCCAUCCAUUCUACGAAUCUGCAUGAGGAAUUCAACCCCAUUUGCCCUAGUCACACUAUUAAUUUCCAACAAGAUACUGUCCCCAAUAUCUAGUUGUAGUGCAUGCACGACAGUCUUCCAACCUGCAGCCCCAAAAGAAAAAUGCCCCCAUCCAUCAUCCAUAAUGUGCAGACCAUCAUACACCGUCCCCACAGGCUG